Molecule: transfer RNA, 76 nt
Filed under: Thermotoga sp.
Lineage: Bacteria; Thermotogati; Thermotogota; Thermotogae; Thermotogales; Thermotogaceae
Also listed under: 4 other names
Description: tRNA-Pro
Rfam family: tRNA
About the family: Transfer RNA (tRNA) molecules are approximately 80 nucleotides in length.
Source: RNAcentral
CUGGGCGUAGCUCAGAAGGGAGAGCGCCGGAAUCGGGGUCCGGAGGUCGAGGGUUCAAGUCCCUCCGCCCAGACCA